UUUUUUUCUUCUUCUUUUUUUUUUUUUUUUUUUUUGUUUUAGGAUCCAAUUGGAUCAUCUUGGGUGCCUUUCUGUGAAACAAAUAAUUAAACUACAAAUGAAAAUGGCUGCAUGCGGUGUAAGAGCGCUCCCUCGCAGACCGGGCGCCAUUGAUUUUUCGACUUCCUGCAGCUCAUUGUUUUGGCUUUACGACGCAGUUACAAUAAAAAAUCACUCUUAACUCUCUAAUUACCCACAUUCCCAGGUCGGUCUUUGUUGUGGAGAAACAAACAGCUAAACACAAUCCCAAUUACAGGCUGAAGUAAUGCAGGUAUUGGGCUUUGCUAAAGUAUUCACACCACAUUUUUACAUUUCCUCAUAUUAGAAUCACCGACUGCAAUUCAUUUUAUUAGGCAAGGGAAGUACAUAAUUGUAAAGUGGAUUUUUAUUAUAAUUUAGUUUAGUUUUUUUUUUUUUGUUUGUUUGUUUGUAUUUUUUACAAAUCAAAACCUGAGUAGUGUGGUCUGCAUUUGUACUCCAUUUAUUUUUGAUAACAGCUGUAGUUUGGUGAUCCUGGUCGCAAACAUACAACCAAAAGGCACAGUGGAGAGUUUAGAUUAAAUCCUAUUCAUGCGAUUAAAAAGGUCCAAUCAAUUUUGCAGCUGUAACAGCUGCUGAACAGAAAAGCGCUCUCCUCUGUUCUGUCUUUUACUGGUCAAAACACUUUAAACUCUUUUCCUCCCUCUGUACAACUAUGUGCUACCAAAUACGUCAACAUUUGUGUAGAAAGCAAUGCAAAGUGUAAAAAUAAGAAGAAGAAUAAAUUAACAGGUUUGAAAACUUUCGCAGCACAUUUAAGGACUUGAAAAGUUCAUAAAAGCCACAGAACCGAGGAUUCGCCCGACACCGUAGAACUGAGCUCCACACUCUUGGGAUGUUAAGUCCUUCUACCUAUCAGCUAACUGGGUUGUUCCUGUCUGUGUGGUGCUUUUUCCGGUGCCUGAAGGUUUCUCCCGGACUGUGGGGAUGAGAAGCUUUGCUCCCACACACCUGAGGAUCAUCAGCCAUCAGCCUUGGAGGAUAAGAGGAGCGAGCUGCUGAUCAUUCUUCGUCUGAGUGUUAGCUUAUGCGGUAUUUCUGUGAGCCUCCUGCUGGAAUAAAGCUCUUGCGAUCAUCCUCUGAAGCCACGUCUUACCGCUGGAAGAACAAUUCCCCCUGGAUCAUCCACCACAGUCAGCAGCUUAGAUCCAAACCGCCAUCAUCCUCCAAGCCAAGACUCGACUACCACACAGACCGGCAACCCAGAACGCUCACAUUCCUCCAGCAAGAUUAUUCCGUCAUCCUUAUUAUCACAAUCUUCUUCCCAACUCUACAUCGCCCUCGCAGUUCCCUCCCUGCACAAAACCUUGAGAAGUCUGGACUUUAUUACGUCUGUAACAAUAAACUUGAUGAACUUU
Gambusia affinis (western mosquitofish) is the source of this 1436-nucleotide long non-coding RNA. RefSeq lists it as uncharacterized. The record is from RefSeq and is a predicted model, not a curated record. NCBI's taxonomy places the organism in Eukaryota, Metazoa, Chordata, Actinopteri, Cyprinodontiformes, Poeciliidae. The transcript is spliced from 2 exons.